This 453-nucleotide ribosomal RNA is filed under the name uncultured Streptococcus sp. RNAcentral's name for it is "bacterial SSU rRNA". It matches the Rfam family "Bacterial small subunit ribosomal RNA", at positions 925 to 1382 of the family's 1533-position model. Lineage: Bacteria; Bacillati; Bacillota; Bacilli; Lactobacillales; Streptococcaceae. The record is from RNAcentral.
ACAAGCGGUGGAGCAUGUGGUUAAUUCGAAGCAACGCGAAGAACCUUACCAGGUCUUGACAUCCCGAUGCUAUUUCUAGAGAUAGAAAGUUACUUCGGUACAUCGGUGACAGGUGGUGCAUGGUUGUCGUCAGCUCGUGUCGUGAGAUGUUGGGUUAAGUCCCGCAACGAGCGCAACCCCUAUUGUUAGUUGCCAUCAUUCAGUUGGGCACUCUAGCGAGACUGCCGGUAAUAAACCGGAGAAGUGGGGAUGACGUCAAAUCAUCAUGCCCCUUAUGACCUGGGCUACACACGUGCUACAAUGGUUGGUACAACGAGUUGCGAGUCGGUGACGGCGAGCUAAUCUCUUAAAGCCAAUCUCAGUUCGGAUUGUAGGCUGCAACUCGCCUACAUGAAGUCGGAAUCGCUAGUAAUCGCGGAUCAGCACGCCGCGGUGAAUACGUUCCCGGGCCUU